UGGCACCAGUGGCUUCCUUAUUGACAUGCC
RNAcentral lists this non-coding RNA (30 nucleotides) under Mus musculus (house mouse). The record is from RNAcentral. Lineage: Eukaryota; Metazoa; Chordata; Mammalia; Rodentia; Muridae.